Hipposideros armiger (great roundleaf bat) is the source of this 2040-nucleotide long non-coding RNA. RefSeq lists it as uncharacterized. NCBI's taxonomy places the organism in Eukaryota, Metazoa, Chordata, Mammalia, Chiroptera, Hipposideridae. The record is from RefSeq and is a predicted model, not a curated record. The transcript is spliced from 4 exons.
UUGGGAAGGGGAAGUGACUCGCGGCUCCUCGGAGGCCCAUCAGGGUCUGUCGCCAUCUUGGGACUGGGCAGAGUGGGGCAAUGCCUCCUUUCAGCCACUACUGUUUGCUGCCUGAGAGGGCGAAGAGGGUGCGCACGGGAAACCCCCCUGGAGCCCUCAGGAGUGUUGGAGAGCCCCCAGGUCUAUCCAAACGAGGAACGUGUGUAAACUUGGACGCUCUCGGUGUUGUUGGGGGACGAAUCGCCUCCGAAAGUAUGCCCAGGGGUCUUCGAAGGCCCUCAGCCCCGCGGCGGGGCGGAAGCCUCCAGAUGCUAGGUCUCCGACCCCCACCCCUUUUCCGCCCCGAGCUGCCUUUGUAAACACUGCAGACGUAGCCCCAGCGUGCGGGCCUGCUUUCAGGCGACCAAGGUCAUCUGCUUAGACUCCUGCCAACACAUGAUGUGGCACUAGUUUACAAGAAGGCCCCUUUUACUGCAGCUGACCUUCUGUCCUAAAAGAAAUGGAGGAGGCAGUUGGAUGUGGGCAUGGAGAAUCAAACCAGCUCACCCUACAGCCCUUGACUGAGGACUCCCAUCUGUGGCUGUCCCUAAUGAUAAUAAGCUUGUCACUUGGACAUCACAGAGAGUCCUCAUCUGCUCACCUCAUUUAAGGUUCUCCUCCUGGCUGGCCUUUCUGAAGCAUCUUCUCUCCGCAUCACCUCCCUCCUCAAUUCCGGAAGUUCCGGUGAUCUCUGAUCAGCGUGGGGGGCGCGGCCCCUUUUCCGGGCAGGGCGGGUGUCGGGGUGACCCGUCUGCGGGGACCGAAGGCUGAGGCCGCGAGGAGCUGAGGGAGCCCAGCGCGCCCUCCCUCGCCCGCUGCCCAAGGACUGGGGUCGUUGCCUGGCAGUCGAGCUCUGCGCCUUCAGCAUGGUGACUUUUGACUCCAGCGGGCGCCCCGACGUCGCCUACGCCUACCAGACUGGGUUACAUGGGCGCCGCCAUGCUGGCUCAAGCUUGACCAAUCGAGUGCCGGAACGGCCUUUUCUAAGGCUGGCUGAUGAUCGUCCACUCAGGUGUGUCUUGUCGAUUCCUCUGUUGAUGGACGCUUUAGUUGCUUCCACCUUUUGACUAUUGUGGAUAAUACUGCUCUGAACGUGGGUGUGCAAGUAUCGCUUAGCGUUACUGUUUUUUAUCCUUUGGGUCUAUACCCAGAAGUGGAAUUGCUGGAACAUACGUUAAUUCUGUUUAAUCUUUGAGGAUCCACCUGACUGUUCCCAGGGGCUGCAGCAUUUUACAUGCCCACCAGCAAUACACAGUGUUCCAGGUUCUCCAUGUCCUCGCCAGUGUUUGUUUUACGUUAUUCAUUUAUUUUUGGAUGAUGGCCUUCUUAAUGGGUAGGAAGUGGUAUCUCGUUGUGGUUUUGAUUAGUGACGUUACGCAUGCCGUGACUACUGAUAUAAUGAGACUUUAACAUGAGUGAUUACAAUGAACAGAGCUUUCGGAGGUUAUACUCAGCUUUGGAGUGCAGAUGGAGGCUAUGGGGAACCAUGGUGUUUGGGAUGGAGAAGGGGUCCCUGGGGCAGGACGAGAGGCAGCUGAGUUUUGUGCGGAGGGAUAACAGGUUUAAGGACUAAUCUACAGUCAUCGCCCCCAACACACAUGUGCAGGAACGCAUGCUCAGUCACACCCCACGCAUCACAACUGUGGGGCAGAGAGGACAAAAGGAAGGUGCACAGGGACAGUGACCACUGAACCGAACACAUGAGGCCCAUACCCAGGACCCCACUGGUGGUUCUGAGGGUGUUUAGGGUGGGACUUCUGCCGCAGCAAUCAGCCAUGAGAAGGACUUUGUAAUCUGGUUCCAAUACAGAGGGUGGGACAGGCAGCCACAAGCGCCCUCAGUGGGGAGCACAGCCUGUUCCCCCCUAGCCCCCGCCAUCCCUAAGCUGAGCAGAACAGGCCACUCACAACUGCUGGCAAUGUGCACAGAGAGGGCUCUGAACAGGAAGUGGUAUAUAAUUGCCUAGGACUUGUAUCAUUUUUUUCCCCCUCUUUCUUUCUC